CAGCCGCCGCGGGAAUACGAAGGGUGCAAGCGUUAAUCGGAAUUACUGGGCGUAAAGCGCGCGUAGGUGGUUCAUUAAGUUGGAUGUGAAAGCCCUGGGCUCAACCUGGGAACUGCAUCCAAAACUGGUGAGCUAGAGUAUGGUAGAGGGUGGUGGAAUUUCCUGUGUAGCGGUGAAAUGCGUAGAUAUAGGAAGGAACACCAGUGGCGAAGGCGACCACCUGGACUGAUACUGACACUGAGGUGCGAAAGCGUGGGGAGCAAACAGGAUUAGAUACCCCCGUAGUCCCUGUCUCUUAUAC
Molecule: ribosomal RNA, 301 nt
Filed under: uncultured bacterium
Lineage: Bacteria
Description: partial 16S ribosomal RNA
Rfam family: Bacterial small subunit ribosomal RNA
Source: RNAcentral